UAAGAAGAGACGAGGCAAAUUUUAAAAUCCUUCGUGGCAGCACUUACAUCUGCAGUCAGCACUUCUCUUCAGAGGAGACCUACGUUUCUGCAAGUGGUCAAAAGAAGUUAAAGAAGGGAGCAGUACCAUCUAAAUUCCCGUGGAAUGAUUGGGGCAAAGGAAGAGGUGAGCAAUCUGCAAAGCGAUGCCUGUUCCAGGGAGCAGCACAGAGGAUUGAUCCCACCUGGAGGCAGUGCAAAAUGAUCAUGACUACAGCUGCCAUCCCUCUCCUGGUAAAAUGGACAGAGCUGCUAGGAAGAUUCAGCAGUUGGAGGUGGAAAUCUUGACACUUCAACACAAAAUCCAGCAGCUGACAUUUAAAAAUCAGGAGCCAUUAAUUUAAAAAAUUUUGUCUGACCGACAAGGACUACCAUUACUACACAAGAUUCAGCUCCAAGAAGGUCUUCACUCUGUUUUGGGUGGCUGUUAACC
Fundulus heteroclitus (mummichog) is the source of this 471-nucleotide long non-coding RNA. RefSeq lists it as uncharacterized. The record is from RefSeq and is a predicted model, not a curated record. NCBI's taxonomy places the organism in Eukaryota, Metazoa, Chordata, Actinopteri, Cyprinodontiformes, Fundulidae. The transcript has 3 exons.